GACGUAGGGCGCAAGCGUUGUCCGGAUUUAUUGGGCGUAAAGAGCUCGUAGGCGGCUUGUUGCGUCGACUGUGAAGACCCACGGCUCAACUGUGUGGUCUGCAGUCGAUACGGGCAAGCUAGAGUUCGGUAGGGGAGACUGGAAUUCCUGGUGUAGCGGUGAAAUGCGCAGAUAUCAGGAGGAACACCGGUGGCGAAGGCGGGUCUCUGGGCCGAUACUGACGCUGAGGAGCGAAAGCGUGGGGAGCGAACAGG
RNAcentral lists this ribosomal RNA (254 nucleotides) under uncultured bacterium. RNAcentral describes it as "partial 16S ribosomal RNA". It matches the Rfam family "Bacterial small subunit ribosomal RNA", at positions 524 to 776 of the family's 1533-position model. The record is from RNAcentral.